This 1433-nucleotide ribosomal RNA is filed under the name uncultured eukaryote. RNAcentral's name for it is "SSU rRNA". It matches the Rfam family "Eukaryotic small subunit ribosomal RNA", at positions 384 to 1675 of the family's 1831-position model. The record is from RNAcentral.
CGGAGAGGGCGCCUGAGAAAUCGCUACCACAUCUAAGGACGGCAGCAGGCGCGCAAAUUACCCAAUCUCAAUACGAGGAGGUAGUGACAAGCUAUAGUGACUCCACACUAUUUAGUGGGGAGGUAUUGUCUUUUGACGAUUUUCCAUGAUUUGGGUGUAGAUAACCCUUAGAGUAGCCAUUGGAGGAAAAGUCUGGUGCCAGCACCCGCGGUAAUUCCAGCUCCAAGAGCGUAUAUUAAUACUGCUGUAGUUAAAACGCCCGUAGUAUACCUAAGAGUGUGCGUGUAGUAAUUAGUUUUGUCAGAGGACGGUCGGCGAGUGUUUAUCACACUUGCUUGCUUACUUUUGGCAAACUUCAGUCGGGCUGGAUCUUUGGUCCUCGUCUGACAGUUGCUGCGCGUGUACUUGUCCACGGUUCAUCCGUGAGGCCCAUUUGGGUUGCAACUGUAAAUAAAUCGUUGUGCUUAAAGCGGGCUAUGAUACUCUGCCAGAGCGAUUUAGCAUGGGACUGUAGAGUAGCUGUAUUUGAGUGAAGGUUGUACUUCGGUAUGGCUGGAUCUUGGUACAGCGCUUGUAAUGGAGCUCAGGGUGAGGCCCCGGGUACCAUGAGGCUAGAGGUGAAAUUCUGAGACCCUCAUGUGACCAACUAAGGCGAAAGCUGUCGUGGGCCACCACAAGCUCGUCUAUCAGGGACGAAAGUUGGGGGAUCGAAGACGAUUAGAUACCGUCGUAGUCCCAACUAUAAACGAUACCAACCGAAUAUUUGGGAAGACACUAUCCCAGCGAUCUUCUCAGAACUCAAGGGAAACCUUAAGUCUUUGGGUUCUGGGGGGAGUAUAGUCGCAAGACCGAAACUUAAAGGAAUUGACGGAAAGGCACCACCAGGAGUGGAGUCUGCGGCUUAAUUCGACUCAACACGGGGAAACUCACCAGGUCAGGACACAAGUUUGAUUGACAGGUUAAUAGCCCUUUCUUGAUUGUGUGGUGGGUAGUGCAUGGCCGUUUCCAGUUCGUGGAGUGAUCUGUCUUGUUAAUUCAGAUAACGAACGAGACCUAAGCCUUUAACUAGCCGUAGGCCUUUUCCUUCGGGGAAGGGUUAGUUUGUCGGAACAGGUUUCGGCCUGUUCCAAAACCUACGAGACUUUUGUCAGCUUCUUAAAGGGACUUCAUUCGUAAACUAGGAUGAGGAAGAUUUAGGCCAUAACAGGUCUGUGAUGCUCUUAGAUGUCCUGGGCUGCACGCGUACUACAAUAACGGUACCAGCGAGCGCUAUGGUUUUAUAACCCCUUAUCCUAAUAGGAUUGGGAAAACUUUUCAAACACCGUUAUGACAGGGAUCGAGGAUUGGAACAUCCUCGUGAACGAGGAAUUCCUAGUAAGCGUGGUUCAUCAUACCACAUUGAUUACGUCCCUGCCCCUUGUACACACCGCCCA